Molecule: long non-coding RNA, 1026 nt
Organism: Antechinus flavipes (yellow-footed antechinus)
Lineage: Eukaryota; Metazoa; Chordata; Mammalia; Dasyuromorphia; Dasyuridae
Exons: 3
Source: RefSeq, a predicted model, not a curated record
GGACGGGGCGGGGCUGGGGCGGGACGGGGCGGGGCUGGGGCAGGGCCUCCCGGCUGCCCCUAAGGGCACCUGUCAAAGGCAGAAGAUGCGAGUUCUGACGUUUGCGGCCUUUGGUACAGCACUUAACGUCGCCUAACGGCCGUUUUCUCAUCCCAGAAUGAGGACGUCACGCGGUUCUUCGCAUUGUUGUGAAGAAAAUCGUUUGGAAACCUUAAAAUACUGCGUAGAAACACGGUUCUCCACUCUUUUCCGAGGCCGGAUUUCUGACCGCAGUUUUGGGGGUGUGGGGGCCUCCAAGACUGGCUCGAUGGUCAUUGGAGGAAACUUUGACAGCUCCGCCCAGCGGCCUCUGAGCCUCUGCAUCCGCCGGCCCCGCCCUCUCUGCCGCUCUAGCUUUCUCCAACUGCAACCUGGAUUCCCCUGCUCCCGGGAAACAAAGAAAGAAGCUCUGUGUUUCAAUCCCUGAUUCAAUACUCCAGUCUGGGGAUGGGAGACUGCAAGGAGGUCCUGGUGGAGACUGGAAAUGGGGGAGCUGUUCCAUCUUCUCCCCCCAUCCUGCACCCCCAGCCUUCCCAAGCUCUGCUACAAACUUGCUUCCUGCAUUCUGGCCCCAGUGAAAGAAGGGGAUUGGACUCCAUGAGCUCUAAAAUUGCUUCCAGCUUCUAACAGUCUAAAAUCUAGGUAAGGAAAUUGAGGUUCAGAAGUUAAAAAAACUUGUCCAAGAUGACUGAAAUAGCAUGUGACAGAGGGGACCAUUUUUUACGCUACAUCAUGCUGUCUUCUAUGGUGGUGAGAAUGAUGAGUAUACCAGAGAGCAUGUCCAAAGAAGAAACCGGGACACUGAGGAAAAAGAGGGCAUGGAAUGAUAGAUGUUUUCAAACACCUGAAGCUCUCUCCUCAAAUUAAUUUGUGUUAUACUUACCUAUUUAAGUGUUGUAUUCCCCUUCCCUCUCCCCCCAAUCCCAUAUGUCUCCCUGCCAUUAUCAAUUCUUUGAGGGAAGAGACUAUUUUAUCUUGGUCUUUAAA